UACGAGAGGUCCAAACGUUAUUCGGAAUUACUGGGCUUACAGAGUUCGUAGGCGGCUCUCCAAGUGAGGUGUGAAGGCCCUCGGCUCAACCGAGGAACUGCGCUUCAAACUGUAGAACUAGAGGGAGAUAGAGGUGAGCAGAACUGAUGGUGGAGCGGUGAAAUGCGUUGAUAUCAUCAGGAAUACCGGAGGCGAAGGCGGCGUUCUGGACUGCAACUGACACUGAGGAACGAAAGCCAGGGGAGCAAACGGG
This 253-nucleotide ribosomal RNA is filed under the name uncultured bacterium. Its description in RNAcentral is "partial 16S ribosomal RNA". It matches the Rfam family "Bacterial small subunit ribosomal RNA", at positions 524 to 776 of the family's 1533-position model. The record is from RNAcentral.